This 507-nucleotide long non-coding RNA is filed under the name Mus caroli (Ryukyu mouse). RNAcentral's name for it is "predicted gene 16135 (MGP_CAROLIEiJ_G0002510.1)". The record is from RNAcentral. Lineage: Eukaryota; Metazoa; Chordata; Mammalia; Rodentia; Muridae.
GACUCUCACAGAGAAACCCUGUCUUGAAAAUCAAAACAAAACACCCACCUCUCUCAGUAUUUUUAAAACUGAGUUAACAUUUGUGGUUGUUAGUGUGACUGCAGACCACCAUCCCAGAAACAAUAUGUAAAAGAAUAGAGUGGAAUAUGUAUGUUAGCAACAUCAUAUUUAAAACUUCAGAUUUCGGACUGAGAGACACACACAAAAAUACACACAUGCAGUUUAAUGAAGCAAAAUGCAGAUACUCAUCACCUAGGCAGAGAGGAGGCUACUGCAAGCCUUUCGGUGGGCUUUUGCUGUCGGUCUUUAACCUGAGGAAACGUCUUCAUCUGGUUGGUUGGUUUGAGGUGUGCUAGUUUUUGUUAACUUGACAGGAACUGGAGGCACCGAGGAAAUACCCCCAUUGGAUUUGCCUGUAAACAAGUCUGUGAGACAUUUCUUUUUCUCAAAUUAAUGAUCAGUGUGAGAGUCCAGCCCAGUGUGGGCAGUAGCAUUCCAGACAGGUGG